Molecule: ribosomal RNA, 557 nt
Filed under: uncultured bacterium
Lineage: Bacteria
Description: bacterial SSU rRNA
Rfam family: Bacterial small subunit ribosomal RNA
Source: RNAcentral
GGCAGCAGUGGGGAAUUUUCCGCAAUGGGCGAAAGCCUGACGGAGCAAUCUCGCGUGAGGGAUGACGGCCUAUGGGUUGUAAACCUCUUUUUUCAGGGAGGAACAAAAUGACGUGUACCUGAAGAAUAAGCAUCGGCUAACUCCGUGCCAGCAGCCGCGGUAAGGCGGAGGAUGCAAGUGUUAUCCGGAAUCACUGGGCGUAAAGCGUCUGUAGGUGGUUUAAUAAGUCAGCUGUUAAAUCUUGAAGCUCAACUUCAAAAUCGCAGUCGAAACUAUUAGACUAGAGUAUAGUAGGGGUAAAGGGAACUUCCAGUGGAGCGGUGAAAUGCGUAGAUAUUGGAAAGAACACCGAUGGCGAAGGCACUUUACUGGGCUAUUACUGACACUCAGAGACGAAAGCUAGGGUAGCAAAUGGGAUUAGAUACCCCGGUAGUCCUAGCCGUAAACAAUGGAUACUAGAUGUUGAACAGAUCGACCUGUGCAGUAUUAAAGCUAACGCGUUAAGUAUCCCGCCUGGGAAGUAUGCUCGCAAGAGUGAAACUCAAAGGAAUUGACGG